Molecule: ribosomal RNA, 459 nt
Filed under: uncultured bacterium
Lineage: Bacteria
Description: partial 16S ribosomal RNA
Rfam family: Bacterial small subunit ribosomal RNA
Source: RNAcentral
CCUACGGGAGGCAGCAGUGAGGAAUAUUGGUCAAUGGGCGCGAGCCUGAACCAGCCAAGUAGCGUGAAGGAUGACUGCCCUACGGGUUGUAAACUUCUUUUGUCGGGGAGCAAAGCGAGUCACGUGUGACUCAUUGAGAGUACCCGAAGAAAAAGCAUCGGCUAACUCCGUGCCAGCAGCCGCGGUAAUACGGAGGAUGCGAGCGUUAUCCGGAUUUAUUGGGUUUAAAGGGUGCGCAGGCGGAGGUGCAAGUCAGCGGUCAAAUUGCGGGGCUCAACCCCGUACUGCCGUUGAAACUGCAUGCCUUGAGUGCGCGAGAAGUAUGCGGAAUGCGUGGUGUAGCGGUGAAAUGCAUAGAUAUCACGAAGAACUCCGAUUGCGAAGGCAGCAUACCGGCGCGCAACUGACGCUGAUGCACGAAAGCGUGGGUAGCGAACAGGAUUAGAUACCCGUGUAGUC